CCUACCUGACUCUAGCUCGCAGGCGUUGGAGACUUAGGGGCCAAGAUGGCGACAGGAUCGGGCAGUGAGUAUUUGCGUGGAAGGCUUUUGUGGAGCGAAGCAAGGCAUAGCAUUUUUGGCACACACUAAGGAAGUGGGAGGAGUGGGAUAACUGAGAUCCUAAAGUGUUCAACGGCUUCGUGAGGGCCGGCGUUUGGGGUUUGAGACAUAAAUAUAAGCUGUUGCGUCUCAGGGAAGGAGGGAGGUUUGAGAGAAGCAGCUCAGCGAGUCUUUGUAUCAAGAGUUCUGCGGGGUAGGAGAGAAAGGCACUCUAGAAACUUGGGCGUUAAAACGAAGAGAUGUGAGCCAUAUGGUGUGGCCGGCAGCUCAGAGUCAUUCAUUUUCUGAACAAUGUGAGGCAUUCGAAGUGUGAUCACUUUAAAUCACGAGCUUUUUCUGUCACUGGGAAAUUGCGUUUCGUGAAUUUCAUUUUUAUCCGUUUCAUAGAGAAUGUUUUUAGGUCCGUCGGUUGGGGGAGGGGCUGAAAGAAGUAAACAAGUUUAUGCUAAGAGGGAGGCGGGGCAGUAGGAAGGGCGGGCGCUAGGAAUCUUGGGAAAUAAGCUCGCCUUCAAAUUGGAAUAAAGGUUUUUUUUUUUUUUUUUAAAUUAAUUAGCCCCUUGGCGUCGCUUUGGGAUUGAACCCCUCAGUGGCAUCUUACCACUGAGGUACCUCCCUAUCCCCGCUACAUUCCCCACCCCCUAACUUUUUUUUUUCCUUCUUCGGGCUGGCCUCGAAAUUGCAAUCCUCCAGCCUCAGCCUACCUAGUAGCUGGCAUUACAGGAAAACACCCCUGCACCCAGCUGGAAUAAAGUAUUCUUCAAACUGAACUUUCUAAAGAAUUACUUCAUAUUAAUCUGACUUUCCCAAUUUUUAAAAUAUAAAGCCGAGCUUAAAGUCGUGGCAUCUGAGGAGAUAAAAUGUUCUACUAUAAUUCACAUGCAAACAAUAGAUAAGGUCAAUGUAGUUAAUUGUAGUGGUGAAAAUCAAGUGUUGGUGAUUGCUUAAGAGUGCUGAGCUUGGUGGCUCAUGCCUGUAAUCCUAGCGGUUCCGGAGGCUGAGGCAGGAGAAUCACAAGUUCAAAACCAACCUAAGCAAUUUAGCAAGACCCUGUUUCAAAAUAAAAAAUAAAAGGGGCUGGGAAUGUGGUUUAGUGGUUAGGCACCCAUGGAUUCAAUCCUUGGCACCAAAAAAAAAAAAAAAGUUUCGGUGGUGCAAGCCUGUUAACCUUUGCAGCUCAGGAGUCUGAGGCAAGAGGAUUGCAAAUCUGAGGCCAGCCUCAGCAAAUUAGCCAAGACCUAAGCAACUUAGACCCUGUCUCAAAAAGGGUGUGUGUUUGUGUAGCUUAGUGAUAAAGAUCUGGGUUCAAGAAUCAAUCCUAGUUUAAAAGAAAGUUGGUGAUAGUAGCUUGUUUUGUUCCAACAAUUGGUAUAUUUUGUAUUAGGCUUUUAGUUGUUGAUUUGGUGCUUAAAACUCCUCAGAGGUUGUCUCUAAGCCUUGUUACUUUUCAGAACACAAGCUGCUGAGUACUGGCCCCACAGAGCCAUGGUCCAUCCGGGAGAAGCUGUGUUUAGCAUCUUCAGUCAUGAGGAGUGGAGAUCAAAAUUGGUAAGAUAUCUAGGAUGUCUCCGUUCUUGGGUCUUAAGAAACUUGUCCCCCCUCACACACACACACUUUGGUGGAUUCUUACAGUAAUAUCAAGCUUUAAAUAGUAUUUUUUUCCAAACAGUUUUACUAAAAUAUAUCAUAAAAUUAACCCACUUAAAAUGUAGAACUCAAUCGUUUUUUAGUAUAUUCACAGAGUUGUGCAUCCAUCACCACAGUCUAAUUUUGAACAUUUUCCUUAUCCCUACAAUAAAUCCAUUACUCCUUAGCUGUCACUGCAUUCUCUCUUCUCUCCCAAGCAACUACUUAUCUACUUACUUUUUCUACAGAUUUCAUUUCAUAUAGAAGGAAUCAUAUAACAUGUGGUCUUCUGGCACUGAUUUCUUUUCUUUCUUUCUUUUUUUUUUUUUUGAGAUUAAAAAAGGUUUAUUACUUAGAAAAAAGGUUUAUUUUUUCUUCUUGUCCCAGAAGCUGGAUUCUGCCCAUCAGCAGGAAUAGGCUUUUAAAGAGGUGAUUCAAAGGCUACAUUCCUCAUGUUCUCUGUUUCAGUUGUAAUUCACUUGUUAAUUUGGGGGAUAUUUAUUUCUGAGGUCUUUUGGUACCAUCCCCAAAGUCUCAUUACUUUGUUCCUAUGGUGGGUUUGUACUCAAGGACAGAUAACUCUGCCUAGGAAGGGGUAGAAAGGUAAUCCUGUUUCCCCAGAAAUUAGGGAGGAGCAGGGAGAGAAAGAAAGAAACAUGUCCACUUAAAAAAUAAGUUACAGUGGCAGAGCAACAAGAGCUAUAUUCAAAGCAUAAAGUAGACACUGUUACAUUUCCCCACUGUCAAUUUCUACAUUCCAUUUCUAUGGAAAGAUGGGUGAUGACAUCUCCAAAACUGUUUCCUGCUGCAAGGGGGUGAAAUUGGGGGAAGUAACCCAAAACCCUUGUUCUCUAUUAGGUGGGGUGUGGACAGUUAAGGGGUUUCAGUAUCAGAGUAGUCCAGAGGUCCACAGUUGGCAGGUGGCAGGUGACUGGACAAGGUGUACACAGGCAGGGAUCAUGAAAAUGGUCAAAGUUGUCCGACUUUCCUGAGUUCAAUUUCCUUUUUCUCAAAGUGGACCAGGAUGGAACAACCUUUAUUGUUUGGGGAGAGAAGGCAGGAGUUCCAUGAAGCAAAAGGAGUUUAGGCAGCUGUUGGGAAGCUCCUUUCUUCGGUCCCUUUACUCACAGGAGUAUCCCCCUUGUUCAACCCUAGGCAAACUCACCCAUCUCGUAACUCUCCUGCAGUUGGCUCUCAACAAGUUUGCCAGUCACCUUGCCGACUAAGCAUGGAAAUGAGGUUCGUUGGAGAACCAAGCCUGCCCAAGAAAGCUGGAGCAGGGGCUUCUUUGGGGUUCCUGGGAUGCCAAAUUUGUUACUGAAAGCUUGGUCCUUGUCUCCAGUGCCAAUCCAAUAAGGACAUGGUUUUGAGAAAAAGGGAAAAGAAGGUUUAUUGCUUUUCUAGCUAAGGAGAUUACACAAGACUCCUGUCCCAGAGGCUGUGAUUCUUGGCACUGGCUACUUAAUCAGUCAACAGUACUUUUUCAGGGUUCACCAACGUGUACUAUGUAUUAAUGCUUCAUUCUCUCUCUCUCUCUCUCUCUUUUUUUUUUAGAGAGAAUUUUUAAUAUUUAUUUUUUUUAGUUUUCGGCGGACACAACAUCUUUGUUUGUAUGUGGUGCUGAGGAUCGAACCCAGGUGCUCGCAUGCCAGGCAAGCGCGCUACCACUUGAGCCACAUCCCCAGCCCGCUGCUUCAUUCUCUUUUAAGGCCAAUAACAGUAUGAAUAUAUUAUCACCCCUUUGUAUCCAUUGGAGAUUGGUUCUAGGACUCACAGAUACUUUAAAAUUAUCUCUAAAUUACUUGUUAUCAAAUAUGAUAUAAAUAGUUGUUGUAUUGUAUUGUUUAGGGAAUGAUGACAAGAAAAAUAGUCUGUACAUGUUCAGUACAGAUGCAGUCUUUUGUUGUUUUUUUUUCUCCCCAAGUAUAUAAUUUUCAACCCAUGGCUGAUUGAAUCCAAGAAUGCAGACCCUGGAUAUAGAGAGUUGGCUUCUUAUUCAACACUUUAGGAUCAUUUGGAUGGUUCCUCCAAUUUAGGGCUAAUAUGAGUAAUGCUGUUAUAAACAUUUGUGUACAAAGUUUUAUGUGAACAGUAUUUCAAUUCUCAAGUUUUCUACCCCAGUAGUGGAAUCUCUGCAUCAUAUGGUAAUUAUAUGUUUAACUUUGAAGAGCUGCCAAACUUGUUCUUUUCUCCUGUUCAGUGUUUUUCUCCAAUAUGAGGGAUUGAACCCAGGGCUUCAAUCAUGCUAGGUGAGUGCUGUACCACUGAGCUACAUCCCCAGCCCUUUGAAAAUUUUUAUUUUAAGACAGAGUCUGACUAAGUUGCUUAGGCUGGCCUGGAACUUGUGAUCUUCUUGCUUUAGCCUCCAGAGUAACUAGAACUGUAGGUAGCCACCUACAGUGCAUACACCUGUAGGUGUAUGCCACCAUGCUGAACUGAAUACGAAUUCUAUUAAAGUUCCUGGCAAGAAAAAAAAAAAAUGACACAAACUGAACAAGUAGAAUUUUUAUCAAAACUAAGCAUGAAAGCUGGGCAUGGUCUACAUAACUAUGAUCCCAGCAACUUGAUAAACAGGAGGAUUGCAAGUUCAAGGCCAGCAUUGGCAACUUAGUGAUACUUUGGCUCAAAAUUUAAAAAAAAAUAAGAAAAGCCUGAGGAUGUAGUUGAAUGGCAGAGUGCCCCUGAGAUAAGAAAAAAGAUAGCAAAACAUGAUUGUGCUAAUUUUAACCAAAAGCUGAACUCUGUGGUCAGUAAAAUCCAAUUAUAUGGAAUAACUAUGGUGUAUGUACUCCCCUUUAUGCCUCUUGAUUGACAGACUUAAGUCAAACAGACAGACUUCAUUUGUUCUGUUUUCAAUUUGGACUUUCAAUUGUGACUUUCUUUUUUCUAAUUCCAGCAAAAGUUGUUUGAAACCAGAUAUAUAGUUCUUGGAAAUUUCCCUAGUGCCUCAGCAGAAUGGCAUCUUCCCAAGAAAAAAUGUUUAUUCUUUUUGACACCUAGUCUCUAAGAAAGGAAUCCUGGGCUAGGUCUGCUUUUUGCCAGAUAGUCCAGUUGCAUGUAGUUGCUCUGUAAUCUUGGCCAUUGUUCAGAACUGUCAUCGUCUUGUCUUUCUCUUGUAUCAAUUUUUUUUUUCUUGUUUGUUUAAUUGCAUUUCUGGGGAUUGAACUCAAGGCCUCGUGCAUGCUAAGUAAGCAGUCUACCACUGAGCUUCAUCCCCAGCCAUGUGUCAAAAAUAAAAAGGGCUAAAGAUGGUAGCUCAGUGGUAAAAUCCCCUUGGGCUCUAUCACAAGCACCAAGGAAAGAAAGGGAGGGAGGCAGGCAGGCAGGCAAGUUUAAUCUGAAAAAGGAAUAAAUGAGGUGUGACUAUCUGCCUUAAAUGUCUCAAUUUAGGAAAUUGGAGGAACAGUACAUAGACCAUAAUUCUGUCCCAAUUAACUGGACUUAAUUGAACAAUUUAAGGAAAAAAAUGAGCUAUAAAAGAGGGGGAGAGUGAAAAAUCCCUCCUAGCUAAGAUACUUCUUUCCAGGCUUUAUAAUAUUGGGAUCUACCAGGUAUCAGGGAGGUGUGGGGGCUUGCUGCAGAAAUUGGUUCUUUUUCAUGUUCCUACCAUAUGGGUUGGGACAUAAUGCAGGCUGCAUCCUGUUUGGUGUUUCCCAGUAGACAGGUUAAGGGAUUGUUGACCAAGACAGCACUGUAUUCUUUGUAUUCACUCCAAAGGCUUUUUCUAUUUGCACCCAGGGUUGUGGAGAAAGAGCCAUCCUCACCAACCAAGCUUUGACAUUUUGUGAACUAGCAGGGUAGAUAUAUACUCACUCCUGAGUCCCUCAGUCUGUGCACCACGGGGCAGGGCAGACAUCCACACCUUGUUGUAUUCCCCAAUGCCUCAGAGAGUUGGAGGAAGCAAUCAAACCUCUGAAUUGUGUGCUGGAGAUGGGGGUGCUAGUUGUGAGUACCAAGCAAUUUUAUUCUCAGUCUUAGAGCUUUCAAACCUGGAUGCUGUGCAAAACCACAUGGGAUUGGUCUCUCUCCUUGUCCUAGAGAGCAGGACCAUGAGAUGAUUAGCCCUUUGGUCCCCUCACCAUGAUCCGUAUUGCUCAGCCGGGUUUGUGACAGACAUUCCCUUUCCAUGAAUGUCUCCUGGCUAUUUCCCACCCAGUUGUGUUGGGCCCAAAUAGUGAUGCAUGUUUUCUGAUCCCCAGAGCAGGUUAGUCCUUAACAGUAGAAUCCUUGUAAAGUUAUUGUGUUGUGCAGGAGUAAUCACUUUCAGACCAAAUCUCAAACUGGAUUUAAAGCUUGCAAAAACUGGGCUUUGCUGGGUAUGGUAGCGCAUGUCUAUAAUCCUGGUGGUUCAGGUGGUGGAGGCAAGAGGAUUGCAAGUUCAAAGCCAUUCUCAGCUUAGUGAGGCCCUAAACAACUUAGACCCCAUCUCAAAAUUAAAAAAAAAAAAAAAAAAAGGACUGGGAAUGUGGCUAAGUUAAGUGCCCCUGGAUUCAGUCCCUGGUACCAAACAAACAAAAAGGAUGGGUUUCUCCCACUGUUUUCUUCAGAGUUAUCUGCACUCUUUGGCUUACCUUAGCUUGCAGAGUUGGGUUUAUUUCCCCAGUUAGGGGCCUGGGUUGAAGUUGGAAAUUGCUUUCUGCUUUUCUCUGAGUUGCCUCUCCAGUUUUGUGUGCUAUUCAGGUUUCCCUUCACUUCUUUAUUCCCAGAAUUCUUCUCUUUCUAAAACAGUUUCCUUUUUGUACUGACUAUUCUUACUCAGAGUUGCUAGAAUGGUACUUCUCUUUCUUUGUCUUGUUGAAGACCAUCUUUACUGACCACAGUUCAGAUUGACUUAAGGUUGUUUUGAUGAUGAUUUAUGUCUUUUGUGUGUGAUGCUGGGAUUGUGUCUUUUUUUUUUUUUUUUUUCCUCCUCGUUCUUGCCAGGAUUUCAUUUGAAUUGAUGUUAGGGGUAUAGCUCAGUGGUAGGUUGGGGGGUGGGGCUUGUAGCUCUGUGGCAGAAUACAAUAGAGACAGACCUUGAGUUCAGUUCCUGGCACCCAAGAGGAAAGAAUUAAUGUUCAGUUGGAUUAAUAUUUUGGGGGGGGGGGGGGCAGUGAUAGGUAUUGAACCUAGAGCCUCUGCAUAUAGUAAACAGGUGUUUUACCACUGAUGCACAUGCACAGCUUCCCCCGUCUUUUAACUUUUCUUCUUGGUGUGGUGUUUUCGUUUUGCAUUACUGGGAAUAGAAUCCAGGGUGUGUCGUGUGCAAAGCAAACACUUUACAUUAAACUACAUUAUAAGGUUUUGUUUGUUUGUGGGUUUGUUUGUUUUGAGACAGGGUCUUGCUAAGUUGCCCAGACAAGCUUCAAACUUAUAAUUUGAUUCCUACCUCAGCCCCGGAGUAGCUGUGUUUACAGGUAUGUGCCACCAAGCCUACUGAGCAAAUUUUUAAUGGUGUAAUUGAUUUGUGGUAAAUUACACCUACUUGAAGUAUAAGCCCAUGGUAUUUAUAACAUAUGGAUACGUCUAUGAAACUCUUCACAAUCAAGAUAAUUUUGACAGUGUUCAUUAGUGGUGAACAGGUGAAGAAAAUUAUGGUGUAUAAAUAUGCAAAGGAAUAUCAUUGUUAUAAAAAAAAGAAAGAAGGGAACCCUGACAUUUGUGAUAACAUGGAUAAACCAGGAAGGCAUCAUGUUAAGUCAAAAAAGUCAGGCCCAGAGACAAAUACUGCAUGAUCUUACUCAUGUAGAAUCUAAGAAGGGUAAUCUCAGAAUUAGAGAUGGUGGUUACUGGUGGCUGGAGUGGUUGAGGGUAUGGUUAGGUGGAGUGAGUUUAGAGAGUCGGUCAAAGGAUACAAAUUUUGAGUUAUACAAGGAAUAAGUUCUGAUCUGUUGUAGAGUAUAGUGACUAUAGUCCACCACCACCACCACUACUAGAGGCAUAGACAGAGGUUUAUUUUGGAAAGUAGAGGCGUAUUCAAGAAACAGUGUGGGCCAUCUCCUCAGGAAGAAAUAGUAGCCAGUUGAUGGGUAUUAAUAUUUAUAGAGGGACAGUUGCAGUUGCUAGGGUCUGGACUAGAGUUAGAGUUGGGGUAGAAUUGCACAAUUUGGUGUCAGUUUUUCCAGCGCUUGCACAUUAACCUUAUAUUACUUUUUUGCAGGAAGGGGUCAAGAGUAUGGGUCGGGCUGCUCUGGAAUAUGUUUUGCAUUUCAAAGAUUUGUGGGCAUUUAUUGCAUUCCAGUGGCUCAUGGGCUACUCUUUUAAGGCUCAAAGUUUAUCUUUCUUUUUGUGUAUCCCCAAGUUUCCAUAUGAUUCUCCACUUCUACCGUGCAAACUUGGGACCCCUUAAGGGUUGAUGAGGGCCAUUCUCUAGAGAACCUUUGGGUAAAGCAAGGAAUAUACAUUCAAGGGAGAAUGUGGGCCACAUCUCAGAGAGAAACAGUCACGUGCUGCUUAUAUUUAUUAACAAUAUUGUAUUCUCAAGAAAUGCUAAGAGUACAUAUGUUCUCACUUCAAAAAUAACUACAUGAACCAGGCAGCCUGUAAUCCCAGCAGCCUGGGAGAUUGAGGCAGGACGAUUGCAAGUCCAAAGCCAACCUCAACAAUUUAGCAAUGUCCUAAACAACUUAGCAAGAUCUUGUCUUAAAAGAAUUUUAAAAAGGGUUGGGGAUGUAGCUCAGUGAUUGAGCGCCCCUGGAUUCAAUCCCUAGUACCAAAUAAAUAAAUAAAACAGAGGGCUAGGAAUGUAGUUCUGUAGAGGAGCACUUACCUAGCAUGUACGAGGCCCUCAGUUCACUCCCUAUCGCCACAAAAACAAACUGGUUUUGAAAUAAAAUCCAAUUUGUACAUUUCCUCAUAUUUUCGUAAGAAAAAUAGUAUAUAGGCUGGGGUUGUGUCUCAGUGGUAAAGCACUUGCUUAGUAUGUGUGAGGCACUGGGUUUGAUCUUCAGCACCACAUAUAAAUAAAUAAAGGUCCAUUGACAGCUAAAAAAUACUUUAAAAAGAAAAAUAGUACAGGAACACUAUGUUUAUGACUUUUUAUAAAUCAAAGUAGUGCACGUUAUCAGUGUCUUUGCAUUAUUGUCUUUCAUCUAUCAGUGUCAGUUUCUAGUCUCUCAGCAUUAAUUUUAAUUUUGUAUACCAUAUUUUCUUUAGACCUCUUUCUUCCUCUGAGUGUAUGUGUGUUAGUGGGAGCUGAACCCAUGGUUGUUUUGCUGCUGAGCUAUAUUCCCAGCCCCAUUUUUAGUUUUUUUUUUUUUUUUAAAUUUUAGUUGUAGAUGGACACAACACCUUUAUUUAUUUGUUUGUUUGUUUGUUUUUAUGUGGUGCUGAGAAUCGAACCCAGUGCCUCACACAUGCUAGGCGAGCACUCUACCACUGAGCCCCAACCCCACCAUUUUUAGUUUUUUUGAGACUGUGCUUUGUUAAGUUGCUGAGGCUGACCUGGAACUUGUGAUCUUUCUGCCUCAGCUUCCCAAGUUGUUGGGAUUACAGGCAUAUAACACUACACCUGACUAGACCACACACAUACUCCUUUGGUGGGGUGGCGGUGUAUAUAUGGGGCCUGUAUAUGCUAGAAAAGUGCUGUAUCACUGAGCUGCAUUUCCAUCCCUAAACAUACUGUUCUUGACCUUCUACUACUUCUCUUAGUACUUGAUCUUGGAGGAUAUAGUAUAUCUUCAUUUGAAGAUCUGUCUCAUUCCUGCCUUUUUUUUUUUUUUUUUUGGUGGUACUGGGGAUUGAACCCAGGGCCUUGUGCAUGCUUAGGCAAACACUCUACUAACUGAGCUAUAACCCCAGCUCCCUCAUUCCUGCCUAUCUUUUUAUGGGGGUUGGCUAGUACAGGUGAUUGAACCCAGGGGUGCUUUACCACUGAGCUACAUCCCCAGCCCUUUUUUUUUUUCUGGUGGAUACAACAUCUUUAUUUUUAUGUGGUGGUGAGGAUUGAACCCAGCGCCCCAUGCAUUCCAGGUGAGCACAUUACCGCUUGAGCCACAUCCUCAGCCCUUUUGAUUUUUUAUUUUCAGACAGGGUCUCAAUACAUUGCCAGGGGUUCCGCUAAGGUUGCUGAGGUUGGCCUUGAACUUCCAAACCUCCUUUCUUGGCCUCCUUAGUCACCGGGAUUACAGGCAUGUGCUAUCAUACCUGGCCCCUAUUUUGAGGUUGGGGGCAAUACUGGGGAUUAAAUUCAGGGGCACUAGACCAUUGAGGCACAUCUUCAGCCUUAUUUUGUAUUUUAUUUAGAGACAGGGUCUCACUGAGUUGCUUAGCGCCUCACUUUUGCUGAGGCUGGCUUUGAACUUUGUAUCUUCCUGCCUCAUCCUCCCAAUGUGCUGGGAUUAUAGGUGUGUGCCACCACACCCAGCCCAUUUAUUUAUUUCUUAACAGCUGCAUGGUAUGUUUUAUGACUACAAUGUGAAAUAGUGGCAUGAAAUAAUAUAAAACAUUGUUUAGCAAAACCUUACGUGUACAUUUGCUGCAUAUUAUGUGGGUGAAUAUUUGCUAAUAUAUAACUUUGGUUAUAUGUAGAUUAUAUCUUAUACCUACAAGAUAAGCUGAAAGUAGAAUUGCUAGGUCAAAGAGUAUAUGAAUUUAUAAUAUUUGGUAAAAAGUUCAAAUUGCCUUGCUCAAAGAUUUUUCAGUUUGCACUCCCAGUGCCUGUUUUUUAUUUUCUGCCCUGUCUCGUAGAAUGUAUUUUCCCAUGCUUUUGAUCCUUGACAGUAUUAUAAAAGGUGAGAAUGUCAUAUUUUUGAUUUGCAUUUAUCUUAGGUGUGAAAUUAAUUGCCUUUAUAUGUUAAAAAGUCACUUGUAUUUCCUUUACUGCAAAUCAUUUUCCCAGUUGUCUUUUUUAUUAUUAGUACUGCCUUUAAUUGGGGAACUGGGAGGGUUCCAUCUAAAUUAGGGAGAUAAGCUGCUGAGAGCCACAGCCUAGUCGGAAUGAUGCAUGGCAUUUUUGCCAGAAGGGAGUGGUUGAGAGGUGUCCGCCUCAUGGCUGGGCACAAAAUAACCACUUGUAGGUUUUAUUACCCGAACUCCCUCGGGGCCACCCAGGCCACCCACUUGGCCCUUCCAGGAAUACCACCAAUCAGAAAUCCCUCCUCCGGAACUUCCCCAACCAAUGAGAACUCCAAAGUAGCGGGACAGCAGGGGUCUAAUAUACAAUUGAAUACACAGCUUAACAUAACCAUCAUCAUCUCAAUGGCUAGCUGGUCACCUCAGCAAUAAGCUAUUUGCCUGAUCAAUGAGAUACAUUUUUUUGUUCUAUUUUUGCUAUCAGAUGCCAAUUAACUUAUUUUAGUAUUUUUACCUUGUUCCCCCCCACCACCUUUUGGUGUUUUCUUUUUUGAGACAGAGUCUUGUUAAGUUUCCCAGGCUGGCCUCCAGCUUGCAAUCCACCUGCCUCAGCCUCCUGAGUAGCAUACACCACCUUACUCAGCUAAGACUUUUAAAAUAUAGUGUAUUAAGAUUUUUCUUUUAUGGUUCUCGGCUUUUGCAUCAUGAUUAGAAAGGUCUUCUUUGUGAGAUUAUAAAGAAAUUGUGUUCUUCUAGUUCUUGCAUGAUUACUUGGAUCUACUUGGGAGUUUUUCUGCUUAUGAGAUAUGAGGCCUGGAUCAAACUUUCUUUAUUUUUUUUUUGCCUUUGGUACUGGGUAUUGAACCCGUGGGUACUUUACCACUGAGCUAAAUUUCCCAGCCCUUUUUAUUUUUUAUUUUGAGAUAGGGUCUCAUUAAGCUACUCAGGCUAGUCUCACACUUGUGAUCCUCCUGCCUUAACCAGCAAGAGUAGGUAGGAUUACAAAAGUGUGCCACUGUGCUUGGCUUAUUAAACUUUUUCCUGAUAGGUCGUCAUAUAACCAUUAUGCCAACACAAAAUUUAAAAACUUUUUUCUGCAGCUGGGAAUGUAGCUCACAGGCAGAGUAUGUGCUUAGUAUGCUUUUGGACUUUAAUUCAAUCUCCAGUACCACAAAAUAAGCACCAAAAAUAAAUAGUGGGCUGGAGUUGUGGCUUAGUGGUAGAACUCUUGCCUAGCAUGUGUGAGGCACUGGGUUUGAUUCCCAACACCACAUAAAAAUAAACAAGUAAAGGUAUUGUGUCCAUCUACAAAAUAUAUAUAUAUAUAUUUUUUUUAAAACUAAGUAAAUAGAGACUUUUUUUAAGAUUGUGAAGUAUUUUAAACCCAUAGAGAAGGGUAGAGAAUAAUAUAUAGUACAGUCCUUUUAUACCCUUUGUUGAUCCUAUUUCACUCUAUUUUCAUUUUUGCUUGUUUUCUUUUUUUGUGUUUAUACUUCCAUCAUUUUGGAAACUUGGUUGGCUUUGUUUUGUUGAGGAGGCGGUGGUGGAGAGUCUUUAUUUAUGGUCCUAGGGAUUGGACUCUUGUGUUCUAGGGAAGUGUGUUACCACUUGAACUAUAUCCCCAAUCCAAGGCAGUUCUCUUUUAAAAGAAGCAAACAACCAAAUCAACAUAAAAAUGUUUUUCCAAGUGAAAAAAAUUUUUACUAUCUUUACUUCAUCUAGUAAAUAGUAUAUCACCCAGGAAAACGGUUCAGCAAUGACUUUUUUUUUUUUUUUGGUACCAGGGAUUGAACCCAGGGGUAUACCACUGGGUCACACCCAGCCCUUUUUAUUUUGAGACAGGGUCACACUGAGUUGCUUAGGGCCUUGCUGAGCUGCUGAGGCUAGCUUUGAACUUGCAGUCCUCCUGCCUCAGCCUCCCAAGUCACUAUGAUUACAGGCAUGCGCCGCCAUGCUCAGAAGCAAUGACUGUCUUUAAAUGGUUUUAUUUUUUUCAAGGGGUUGGGAGAUAAUGAGGAUUAAACCCAGGACCUUGAACAUGCUAGGCAAGCUGUCUUGCUGAGCUACACCCCUUUAUUUUUACUUCGAGACAGGGUCCUGUGGAGUUGUCCAGACCAGCUUUGAAUUUGUGAUUCUCCUGCCUUGAUCUCUUGAGUGACUGGAAUUAUAAGCAUAUGCCACCAGGUCCAUUUCUCUAAAUUUUUUUUUUUAAAGGUCACAAUUUGAUUCUAUUUGAGAUUCUGCUGAGCUUCAGACUUGAGCAGACUUUAUAGUCUCUCUCUUUUUUUUUUUUUAGAGAGAAUUUUAAUAUUUAUUUAUUUAUUUUUAGUUUUCAGUAGACACAAUAUCUUUGUUUGUAUGUGGUGCUGAGGAUCUAACCCCGGCAACACGCAUGCCAGGCGAGAGCGCUACCGCUUGAGCCACAUUCCCAGCCCCUCUCUAAAUUUUUUUUAGGUAGUUGUGUCAUUUUUCAUAGUCAGAUAUUCUGUGACUGGGGGUAUAUAGCUCUGUAAUAGAAUCCUGGGUUCAAUAAUAGUAAUUUAAAAAAAAAAGAUAUUCCAGAAUAUUUCCCAUUUGGCAGUUUUUAUUCUAAAUUUUGAAACUACAAACCUUGAACUCAACCAACUACCUCUCCCGUUUUUUUUUUUUUUUUUCUGUUUGGUGUGUAAUGAGACUUCUCUUACUUCGUAGGGUAUCAGUUAGCAGAGCCAUCAAGCCCUUUGCAGAACCUGGCCGCCCUCCAGACUGGUUCUCUCAAAAAGUAAGUUACUAAAUAGGUGCUUUAUUAUAGUCAUUGGGAUUUAAAGUAGGGCUCUCUACCAAGUUCUGCCUUAUAAUUACAAAGCUUUUAUACCAUGAAAUGAGAAAAUAGUUAAAUGCUUUUCUUUCCUCCCACUUUUCUAAUCUGUGUAUGCUCAUUCUUAUAAAAUCUUCUUGUCAGUGUUGUAUAACAGUUAAGAGCCCAAUUUUGGGUGUUAGACAGAUUUGGGUUCUGUAUGAUUCCAUCUAAAAACUUUAGACCAUGAUCCUCAGUUCUCUUGUUUAUGAAAUAGACAUAAAAAUUGCUUCGGUAAUGUUGUAAAGUAAUUGAGCUGAUACAUGUAAAACACUUUAGUAGAAUACUUUGCAUAUGGUAAUUACUCUGUGUUAUUAUAAAUAUUGGCUAGUGGGUUGGCUUUCCCCAAAGACACCCGAGGACAGAAGACUUCUUUUUCUUUCGUGGUAUUAAUUAUUUUGAACUGAUUGGAUUGCAAAGUAAUUUGUCCUAUAAACUGUACACACUGCUGGGUCCUGUGAUGUAUGCAAAAGAAAAGCAAAAGAAACCACAUACAUCUUAAACAUAGCUCUCUUUUCUAAACUUUGCUUAAAUUUGUUGAAACUUGAAAAGCUUAUUCGUUUCCAGGAUUGCUCAUCACGUUUUUACUUUUUUCCAUAGCAUUGUGCUUCUCAGUACUCAGAGCUCCUAGAAACCACUGAGACCCCAAAGUGAGUAUAAAGCCAGAUAUUUCAGGCAGAUCCCUUUAGUGGCAAGUGUUUACUGUGGAAAUCUAGUUUAUACCUAUUUGGGGAUGAUAAAAGUAUUGCAGAGGGAUGGGGUUAUGGCUCAGUGGUAGAGUGCUUGCCUAGCAUGAGUGAGGCACUAGAUUUGAUCCUCAGUACCACAUAAAAAUAAAAGAUAUUGUGUUCACCUAAAACUAAAAAAUAAAUUUAUGAUUAAGUAGUAGAGAAGUCUUGAAGAAAACAAGUGGGAGUGGAAACAAAUGUCCUCUUAAUAAGAUGAAUUUUUCCCCUCACAGACGCAAAAGAGGUGAAAAGGGAGAAGUAGUAGAAACUGUGGAAGAUGUGAUUGUUCGGAAACUGACUGCUGAAAGAGUGGAGGAACUGAAAAAAGUGAUAAAGGAAACCCAGGAGAGAUAUAGGUACUCAACUCAUCAGAGCACAUAUCAAAUGGUUUGGAAAGACAAAGGGGACUAAUUUCUUGUACUGGUCAGAAUUUUUAAAAUAGAUUAUUUUUAAAAGAUACCAGAAUGGACUGGGAAUAUAGCUCAGUUGUAGAGUGCUUUCCUAGGUCCUGGGUUAAAUCACUAGCACCAUAAAAAACAGUUGAGCUAGGUGUGGUGGUGCAUUCCCAGCAAUUUAGGAGGCAGGCAGGAGAAUUGCUCGUUCAAAACCAAUCUAAGCAAUUUAGUGAGACUCUGUCUGAAAAUUUUAAAAAGGGCUGGAGAAUUGGCUCAUUGGUAAAACACCUCUGGGUUCAAUCCCUAGUACCAAAACUAAAACUAAAAUAAAAUAAAUAAAAAACCAGUUGUCAAUUUGAAGGUUGAGGUGGAACAAUCACUUAAGCCCACAAGUUUGGGACCAACCUGGGCAACAUAGCAAAACCCUGUUUCAAAAAGAUUAUCAUUCUGUCUGCUUUUUCUUCCUAUAGACGGCUGAAAAGAGAUGCAGAACUAAUUCAAGCAGGGCACAUGGACAGCAGACUGGAUGAGCUUUGCAAUGACAUUGCCAUGUGGGUUAUAAUCUUCCAUCUGUGCUCCUUUCUGUCUCACCUCUUUCCUUCCCAAGUAAUCUAUCUUCUUUCCUCCUCCUGCCAUCCCUUUUGACUUGAGACAGAUUCUAGGAAAGCAAUAGCACUGGUUUGGUGUGUGGGAGUGGGGAAUGAGGCCUUAGAGGGUUAUAGAAUAUUUCAAUAUGAGAACAUAUUAAUUCUAACUUAAAAGGUCUCUGUUUUGCCUGGGUGAAGAACUGAGAGUUAGUAUACCCCAAUUCCCUGUUUUGAUGAUUAGAUUCCCUGCUUUCAGAAACAGCAGAUAUUGGGGGGGGGGGGUAUAAAAAGGGCUGGGGUUGUGGCUCAGUGGUAGAGUGCUUGCCUAGCAUGUGCAAGGCAGUGGGUUCGAUCCCUGGCACCACAUAAAAAUAAAAACAAAUAAGAUAAAGGUAUAAAAAUAAAUAAAUAAAUAAAUAAAUUCUCCAUGAGGGCUCAAUGAACUAUGGGAAGGAACUAGAUAUCUGGCUACCAUCUAACCUUUAAUUCCCUCUUUAGGAAAAAAAAAUUAGAGGAAGAGGAGGCUGAGGUGAAGAGAAAGGCUACAGAUGCUGCAUACCAGGGUAAGCUGAACUUAGUGCUUCUGCUUAACGGUUAAUUAUACUUACUGCAUGCUAUGAUAGACUACUUUGUAAAUUUAGUAGUUCAAAUUUACAUGCAUAUUUCUCUCUUGUCAUCUUCUUUCUCUCUCUUUUUUACAUUGUACCCUUUUGGGGGUUGGGGUGGGGUUGGUGCUAGUGCUAGGGACUGAACCCAGGGUCUUGUGCAUGUUCCAUAUUUUAUUGAGUCAAUCUCUUAAGUCCUGGGAGUAGGUCAGUUUAGUUCUGUGUCAUUUCAGGAUUUAGUGUUACAGGUGUGCUCCCAUCAAGGUUAGGCAUCCAUAUGGUGCAAACUAAUAGACUUUUAAUAAGCUGCAUUUCCAUUACACUGGAAAAUCAGAAACAUGUACUUUUCUGAAUUUUUUCCAUCCUUUCUAUAUACCUUAUUAUUAUCAUUUUCGUCAUGUCCCAUAAAAUCUUAGGUGUAACCUCUGGAGGAAGCAGAAUGUUUUGGUAUCCUGGCUGGCUUGCCAAAAUUUUCCCUCUCCUCUCUGAAGUUUCAAUAAUUUGAGUCUGUGGGUCAAACUGACAUACAUAGAUUAAUAAGAGGAAAACCAUACCAAUUUAUUACAUUCAUAUGCACAAGAGACUCACAAAACAUGACUCCUGGGCUGAGGAUGUACCUCAGUGAUACAGUGCUUGCUUCGCAUAUGAAGUCCUGGGUUCAGUCCUUAGCACUGCCAUAACAAAAGAUUCAUGUUACCAGAAUAAAAAUAAUUCUUCAUGUCCAGGAAGAAACAAGAAAAUGAGCUCUGCUCAGAUGUCCGCAUGUCUCAAAUUUACUUUUCUCUCAAAUUUACUUUUAGGACAUAAAGUCUUUUUAAUAAUACCUUGAACAUAAUUGAGGUUUUAGAAAUACAACGCCCGUGAAAAGAUUGAGAAUAAUUUAGUUAUUAGAUAAUGAAACAAUUUAAGCAUUUGCAAUUCUGGGAAUACAUGCUGUGAACCAGUGAUGUCUUUCCCUCUAGUUAUUUAUGUGUUUAUUUAUUUAUGCAGCACUAGGGAUUUGAACAAAGGGUUACUUCACUACUGAACUACAUCCCCAGCACUUUUUUUAUUUUGAGACAGGGCCUCACUAAGUUACCUAGGCUGACCUCAAACUUGUGAUCCUCCUGCCUCAGCCUCCUAAAUCACUGAGAUUAUAGUUGAGUACCACUGUGUCUGGCCUUUCCCUUUUUUUAAAAGCAGAAUCUUGAGCUGGUGACGUAGUUCUGUGACAGAGUGCCUUGCAUGUACUAUGCCCUGGGUUUGAUCCCUGGCAUCAAAAAAUAAAAGCAGAGUCAUGUUACUAAAGAAGAUGUUGAGGAGUAUGUAAACUGUUUUCCCACUCCUUGGAAACUUAAAUAGUUAAGAGUUUACUUAGUGUGAGAAUUGCAGUUAGGAAAAAUUAGGCUAAAAAAUUACUCCUCUCUAGUGUUAAAGUAAGUUUUUAAUCCACAUUCAUAAUUUAAUAAUGCAGCAUUCCUAUUUGACCUUUGUUGUACAUCAGUGGAGUAGUGUCUAGCUUCACUUAUUUAGUACUGAAGAUUUGGACUUUGUUUUAAUGUUCUAGCUCGACAAGCAGUGAAAACACCCCCUCGGAGGUUACCCACUGUGAUGGUCCGCUCUCCUAUAGAUUCAGCCUCCCCAGGAGGUGAUUAUCCACUUGGGGACUUGACUUCAACCACUAUGGAAGAGGCCACCUCUGGGGUGAGUGUUAUUUCCAUCCAUUGGAAUUGAUCAGUGAAGGGUGCAAUAAGCCAGCAGAGAGCUGAGUGAUGAGGAAACCACUUUUGACCUAGGAGCAACUUCUUGGUCUGAACACUAAAGACUAUAAUUUACCAUGUUCUGUGCUCGAAGAUAAGGACGGACCUAAAAGCACUGAGGCUUUUGACCUUUUUGAGAGAUAGGGAAAAGACUGCAUUCAGGAAUUCUUUGCUGUGUAUCUUAGUCCUAUGAAAUUCCUGCUGAAAUAAGAGACAAUUCCUUGUAAAUAUAAUACUGGUAGGGGGUGAGGAGUUUGUAAAUGGCAGAUUGGAUGGAAUGGUUGGGUCAUCAUGGGUUUGAGUCAGUAGAAGAGAAAAUAACAUGGGGAAGAAAAGUAUAGCUAAGAUUAGGGGGUAGAGGGUUCUGGGCAUUUCCACUCAGAACUAAUAAAACCAUACUAACCCAUCCAGAUUAGUAGGGAGCCUUCCAUAGUUUGAGAAGUCAGAUAAAGGUUCUCUGUUGUCUCUUAGGUAACCCCUGGGACUUUGCCGAGUACCCCAGUCACCUCGUUUCCUGGGAUUCCUGACACCCUUCCUCCAGGCUCUGCACCCUUAGAAGCCCCCAUGACCCCAGUAACAGAUGAUUCACCCCAGAAAAAGAUGCUUGGACAGAAAGCAACUCCACCCCCCUCCCCUCUGCUGUCAGAGCUCUUGAAGAAGGGCAGCCUCCUGCCUACUAGCCCCAGACUGGUAUGGAGACUUCUGUGGGUGUUUGAGAGCUGUGGUGAUUUUAGUACUUGGAAGGGAAUGCCUGGGACCUAAAAUGUGACAUGGACAAAAAAGUUCAAAGGAGGAAGAGAUGUCUUAGUUAAAUGUUAAUUUAAAACAAUAAGUUGAUAGUAUCCUUGGGUCCUGAGAUAUCUGAGCCACAAUUAUUUUGGUUUUCUUCCCAAAGAACUCUUGACAAAUAAGUUCUGAACAUUAGAGUUUCCCUUGGGUUUGAAUUACUCUCUGUGGAUAGUAAGUUUUAGUUUUCAAGAAGUUUGGUUGACAGAGUUUUGGGGGGAAGUGGUAGUAAAGGAAAGCUUGAGUGUAGCCUUCACCUCUAUUCUUCCCUGGUAGGUCAGUGAGAGUGAAAUGGCUGUUACUUCUGGCCAUCUGAACAGUACAGGUGUCCUCCUGGAGGUAGGCGGGGUCCUUCCCAUGAUACAUGGUGGGGAGAUACAGCAAACACCCAAUACUGUUGCAGCUUCCCCUGCUGCCUCAGGUAAGUCAUCACUCUUCCUUUGUCUACUUCAGAGAUGGUUUCAUUAUUAUUAAGGAAUUGUUAAUCCAUAACUACUUUUUUUUCUAACUUUGUUUUGGAGCUGCUUUAGCUGUUAAAACACAUAGUGCUUGAAGGGCUGGGGUUUUAGCUCAGUGGUAGAGUGCUUGCCUAGCAUGUGUGAGGCACUGGGUUUGAUUCUCAGCACUGCAUAUAAACAAACAAACAAAAAAAUAAAGGUCCAUUGACAACUUAAAAAAACAAACAGUGGCUUGAAAUUAUUAAUCCAUUCCAUCUUCAAAUUGUUGACAUCCCUGAAACUACAGCAUAGCUAUUGAUGAGAGGAACUUGAAGUUAAUAGUGAAGCUGCUUCUCUGUGGCUUGUAAAAUUGUGUAAAGGUGCUGGAGAUACCUAAGAUAAUAGAAUAUGGGAAAGAGAUUUGGCUUGAAUCUCAGGCCUGCUACGCAUUGGGUUUGUAAUCUGAUAGGUGACUUAACUACUGAGGCUCAAUUUUCUGUUUUAUUAAUUGUGAUAUAUAUGCUAUUCAUUGAUAUAGUGAGAAUUAAAUGAGAUAAACAAAAUAAAGCAAAAAAAUGCUUUACAAAAUACCUUAUAAACAUUAGAUAUUGGUAUUUGAAUCAUGUUGAAGUUGGGUAGUGUAUAGCAUGUUGAAUCUCAACAGAAAUGAUAUUUAUUCAGACCAGUUUUUUUAUUCUUGGUGAUUAUUUAAUUUUCCUCUGAGGAAAGGUACCACCCAUUUUUCUUAUGUUGUGUAUUCUAGUACUUUGGUUUAUUCCUAAUUUAGAAUUUUGGUUCAUUCCUAACUUGGAAAAAGUAAGGUUAGAGAAAAUAAAACUAUAGAUCAACAUAGGAGUUGCUUUCAUUCUUUGAGACCAUAAAUUUUUUCUUGGUUGAAUCUUAGAGUGGCUAUUGCUUCUUGUUGGUGUGCUUUCUUCUUACCUCAUUUUGUAUACCUCUUUGUUAGGUGCUCCCACUCUUUCCCGGCUUUUAGAAGCUGGUCCUACACAGUUCACCACACCUCUUGCUUCCUUCACUACUGUUGCCAGUGAACCUCCAGUUAAACUUGUGCCACCCCCUGUAGAGUCUGUGUCCCAGGCUACCAUUGUCAUGAUGCCUGCGCUGCCAGCACCAUCCUCUGCUCCGGCUGUCUCCACUCCUGAAAGUGUAGCUCCAGGUGCGUCUUGACCCACGCCCUGAGCAGCCACUAGGACCAAAAUUUCAUUUUGAGCUUCAGUUAAGGAAAGAUAACCAAGAACAUUAACUCUAAU
RNAcentral lists this long non-coding RNA (19878 nucleotides) under Marmota monax (woodchuck). The record is from RNAcentral. Lineage: Eukaryota; Metazoa; Chordata; Mammalia; Rodentia; Sciuridae.